UUUUCCUUCCCCCUCCCCAUCGAUCAAAAUAGCCCAAGUAGAAGAAGAAAUCUCUUCUUCUAAUUCAAGCCUUCCCCAUUAAAUCUCUUCCUAUCUUCUUCCUUAAUUUCGAAAUUUGUAGUGUGGUAAAGUUCAAGAACUCUUUUCAUUUCAAUAAAAGAGGUUCUCCAAAAAGAAGUUGGGUUGCAAAUAUCCACAAAGUUCUUCAAAUUUUGAAAAGAUCCUAAGGUAGCUCAUGAUCCGAAUCUGAGGAGCAAAGUUGAACCAAGUCCGGGGAAAGCCGAGGAAUCGAGCCGUAUGGAAUUUAUGUGGAUUUAAUUAACUUCCGUUUUGGUACUUAAAUCUUUUUAGUGGAUUGUAAUCCGUAGUACUUGGAUAUGUUAUCGGGAAAUGAUUUUUAAUCCUCAUGUAUAAUAUAAUGUUUUCCGAUUAUUCUUAUUCAUUUCUAAUGUUGAUUUCUUAA
Long non-coding RNA from Erythranthe guttata (spotted monkey flower), 463 nucleotides. RefSeq lists it as uncharacterized. The record is from RefSeq and is a predicted model, not a curated record. Lineage: Eukaryota; Viridiplantae; Streptophyta; Magnoliopsida; Lamiales; Phrymaceae.